CAUAGAGAAGUUGUAUCAUCCAAGAAGGUGCAUGUACGUAAACUUUGCUCACAUGUUCCAAGCAGUAUUGAGUCACACGUCUGGUUCCAAUCCUUAGAACAAUUGGACUGCAAUGCCUGUGGAUUUUCACUUGAUGAGAUUCUGUUUUCUAAGAUUAAAUACAAACAAAAAAACAGACAUUCACCUCCAAUUAAAUCGAUCGGGAGUUGCCUUGGUCUUCAAAUUUAAAAUGUAAAACAUGAAUAUGUAUGUAUGCUGCUUCAACCAAUCUAGUUCAAGGGUUGUUGGUAUGGUUCUUCCUAUUAGGAAAAUUGAACAUAGAGGAGGAAUCUGCAGACUUUAUAUUUCAGCUUGCAUUCUCUUUUUACAUGAAGAUAAAAAAUGAAGUAAAUACUUUUAAGCGAUAAGUGUUACCUUGGAUUUCUACUCGUAAAUCUGGGCGUAUUUCAUGUAGCUAGCAUUUUGAAUGCGUGAGAUUAUAUGUGGCUGUGCCUGCGAGCCUGUCAGUCAGAAUUCAGAAGCCUGGGUCGUGAAAAUGCACUGUUGAUUGGUUGUGUACUAACUGCUGGAGCUAAAAUGGUCGUAGAUCUUCUUGUGCCUUAACUCAUCACAUGCAGUCCUCCUGCAUAGUUCGAAAAAAGAAAUAAUUCACAAAACAAUACUGAGGAAGUCAUAUAAUGGUAAGAUAAGAACAGCUAGCUAGCCAGCGGCUGAAAGACUCGUUCAGUUAACUGGCUUGUAAUCAUCACCCAGUCGCUCCCAAAAUUAUUCAGUACAGGGCCAAAAUCACAAUCGUCAGUCUCAUGCAAAUCCUUAAUUUCCCAUACCAUUGGACACUCAUCAGGACUAAAUAAAUUAUGAAAAAAGUCAAGUAUGAGAUGUAAGAUUCAGAGUACAGUCUUUAAAAAACCAACUUUUCUUUCACAACAAAAGCCAUCUGAACCAAGUCUGAUGCCCACUAAAAAAACAUUAUAUUUAAUGCACAGAAUUAAACAAGACAAACAAAGCAAAAACAAAAGAGGCAAUGUAAUUGACCAAUGGAUUGCUAUCUUACUUCAUUCAUGGAGUCCAGAAGUGGGAUCAGAUGAGAAACUGAAGCUGGCGCUCCACUCUCUGUUUGUGCAAGAGUGCAAU
This 1134-nucleotide long non-coding RNA is filed under the name Triticum aestivum (bread wheat). RNAcentral's name for it is "long non-coding RNA (TAES_LNC009964)". The record is from RNAcentral. Lineage: Eukaryota; Viridiplantae; Streptophyta; Magnoliopsida; Poales; Poaceae.